This 445-nucleotide unclassified non-coding RNA is filed under the name Hevea brasiliensis (rubber tree). Lineage: Eukaryota; Viridiplantae; Streptophyta; Magnoliopsida; Malpighiales; Euphorbiaceae. The record is from RNAcentral.
UUUAUAUGAGUGAAGAGUUAAGUUAACCUUAUACACUGUCAUGGUUGAUGGAUAUCAGCACAAUAGUAUUAGACUCUGUGAAUAAUGCAUCGCAUUAUAGCUUUGCCUGGAUGGUCUUCUUAUCAGUUAUCAAAUUUCGAGGUCACUUUAUACAGUUUCAUGAUUGUUGAAGAUCAGCUCACGAUAAUAGAUGGAGUGAGUAAUGUGAACAUAUUUUUCUGUUAACAUUUACCUGGAUGGAUAACUUGUAUAGUGGCUUAAAGAGUUAAGCCACUUUAUACAGUGUCAUGAUCCUAAAAGUCAGCCAAGAGAAUUAAACUAGGUGAGCACUGAGCAAUGGCUAGCAUUAUAUGGUUAUGGAUUGAUAUCUCAACAGUUACCAAAUUAUGAGGUCAUUUUUCACUGUGUCAUGCUUGCGCAAAAUCAGCUCUGGAUAAUUGAUCAG